ACAGGCACCCCCACUGGGAACCUCAGGGUCCUCCCUGGGCCCAGAGCUGCCCUGGGCCGAGGCACCCAUUAGAGGAGCCCUCAGCUCAGUUUGCAUUUGAGGAAACUGAGGCUCUCCAAGGUGAACCCCGAUCCAGAGCUUCAGGCCGGGAAGGGUGGAGCUGGCGUCCAUCCCACGUCCAGCUGAGUGAGGCCCUGCCCGCCUGCCCGGCUCUUAGCCUGCCCCUUCUAGGACUGCACACAGGCCCCUGCGAGGCCAACAGCUCAGGGCCUCCUGAGCACCAGGCCUCUGUGCAGCUGCCCACAUCAGGCCCCCAUGGAUACUGAAACUGCCCGCCACCCUCAGACCCUGACUCCGGGCAGCCCAGAGCCCCAAGGCUCAACCAGGAUCCCCCAGCCCCUCUGGCCCCUGGCCUGGACCUGGCAGCUCGUGCCUAGGCCUUCUCUUGCCCAGGCUCCUGGCCCCCCACCGGCUGGCUUCCCGGCCUCGGGCAUCACCCACCCCAGCCCAGGCAGGGCCUCCAAAUCCCCACGAUGGCCUCAGCUUCUCCAUCCAGAAAGGGGCAGUGUCAGGGUUUCCGGCAGAUACUGGGUCCCUUGGAGACACAGCCCUUCCUGAUGCUUCUCCUGGCUAACCCCUGACCUUAGUGGGAAGAUUCGUCUUCCCGUCGACCUGUGUUUGCAGGGAAGGAGCGUCCAGGUUUGAGAGCAAGGGCUGGAUUGUCCCCUGGAGCCCUGUGGCCUCUGAAUGGGUCUGGGAUGGGCCCAGGCCAAGGGUGGGUCUGGGUGUCAUUCCCUUCUCCUCAGCUGCUGCCCUUCCUUGCUGCAGUGGGGACCAGGCCACUGCUCAAAGGAUGGCCAGUGGUGGCCGUCACCACAUUGGCGUCCCUCCCUUGCUCUGCCUGUCCCUGGCCUCUCUGCCUCAGCCCCAGCACCAUGGCAGGGGCCCAGGAGAGGAGGCGCUCCAGACCUCGAGGCUGCUCCUGGCCUGGGGUUGGAGGCUGUGGUCAGCAGGGCUGGCCAGCUGCCCCGUGGGGGCUUAGAAGAACACAGGCGUGCCUGCAGACACCGACGCAAACAACAGACAAGGAAACACGCACACGUACGCUCACGCUGUCACGCCACACGCGAACACGCCCACAGACACUGACGCGGACAGGAGCACUUGUUCCCAGACACGUCCACACCUGCUUCAGAGGCACAGUCGCCCUUGCCCAGAAGACGCUC
RNAcentral lists this long non-coding RNA (1226 nucleotides) under Marmota monax (woodchuck). The record is from RNAcentral. Lineage: Eukaryota; Metazoa; Chordata; Mammalia; Rodentia; Sciuridae.